GGCAGGCCUAACACAUGCAAGUCGAACGGUAACAGGAAACAGCUUGCUGUUUCGCUGACGAGUGGCGGACGGGUGAGUAAUGUCUGGGAAACUGCCUGAUGGAGGGGGAUAACUACUGGAAACGGUAGCUAAUACCGCAUAACGUCGCAAGACCAAAGAGGGGGACCUUCGGGCCUCUUGCCAUCGGAUGUGCCCAGAUGGGAUUAGCUAGUAGGUGGGGUAACGGCUCACCUAGGCGACGAUCCCUAGCUGGUCUGAGAGGAUGACCAGCCACACUGGAACUGAGACACGGUCCAGACUCCUACGGGAGGCAGCAGUGGGGAAUAUUGCACAAUGGGCGCAAGCCUGAUGCAGCCAUGCCGCGUGUAUGAAGAAGGCCUUCGGGUUGUAAAGUACUUUCAGCGGGGAGGAAGGGAGUAAAGUUAAUACCUUUACUCAUUGACGUUACCCGCAGAAGAAGCACCGGCUAACUCCGUGCCAGCAGCCGCGGUAAUACGGAGGGUGCAAGCGUUAAUCGGAAUUACUGGGCGUAAAGCGCACGCAGGCGGUUUGUUAAGUCAGAUGUGAAAUCCCCGGGCUCAACCUGGGAACUGCAUCUGAUACUGGCAAGCUUGAGUCUCGUAGAGGGGGGUAGAAUUCCAGGUGUAGCGGUGAAAUGCGUAGAGAUCUGGAGGAAUACCGGUGGCGAAGGCGGCCCCCUGGACGAAGACUGACGCUCAGGUGCGAAAGCGUGUGGAGCAAACAGGAUUAGAUACCCUGGUAGUCCACGCCGUAAACGAUGUCGACUUGGAGGUUGUGCCCUUGAGGCGUGGCUUCCGGAGCUAACGCGUUAAGUCGACCGCCUGGGGAGUACGGCCGCAAGGUUAAAACUCAAAUGAAUUGACGGGGGCCCGCACAAGCGGUGGAGCAUGUGGUUUAAUUCGAUGCAACGCGAAGAACCUUACCUGGUCUUGACAUCCACAGAACUUUCCAGAGAUGGAUUGGUGCCUUCGGGAACUGUGAGACAGGUGCUGCAUGGCUGUCGUCAGCUCGUGUUGUGAAAUGUUGGGUUAAGUCCCGCAACGAGCGCAACCCUUAUCCUUUGUUGCCAGCGGUCCGGCCGGGAACUCAAAGGAGACUGCCAGUGAUAAACUGGAGGAAGGUGAGGAUGACGUCAAGUCAUCAUGGCCCUUACGACCAGGGCUACACACGUGCUACAAUGGCGCAUACAAAGAGAAGCGACCUCGCGAGAGCAAGCGGACCUCAUAAAGUGCGUCGUAGUCCGGAUUGGAGUCUGCAACUCGACUCCAUGAAGUCGGAAUCGCUAGUAAUCGUGGAUCAGAAUGCCACGGUGAAUACGUUCCCGGGCCUUGUACACACCGCCCGUCACACCAUGGGAGUGGGUUGCAAAAGAAGUAGGUAGCUUAACCUUCGGGAGGGCGCUUACCACUUUGUGAUUCAUGACUGGGGUGAAGUCAUA
This 1459-nucleotide ribosomal RNA is filed under the name uncultured organism. RNAcentral's name for it is "SSU rRNA". It matches the Rfam family "Bacterial small subunit ribosomal RNA". The record is from RNAcentral.